RNAcentral lists this ribosomal RNA (259 nucleotides) under uncultured bacterium. Its description in RNAcentral is "partial 16S ribosomal RNA". It matches the Rfam family "Bacterial small subunit ribosomal RNA", at positions 95 to 354 of the family's 1533-position model. The record is from RNAcentral.
UUGGCGGACGGGUGAGUAACGCGUGGGCAACCUGCCUUACACAGGGGGAUAACACUUAGAAAUAGGUGCUAAAACCGCAUAAGCGCACAGCUUCGCAUGAAGCGGUGUGAAAAACUCCGGUGGUGUAAGAUGGACCCGCGUCUGAUUAGCUUGUUGGCGGGGUAACGGCCCACCAAGGCGACGAUCAGUAGCCGGCCUGAGAGGGCGGACGGCCACAUUGGGACUGAGACACGGCCCAGACUCCUACGGGAGGCAGCAG